RNAcentral lists this ribosomal RNA (467 nucleotides) under uncultured bacterium. RNAcentral describes it as "partial 16S ribosomal RNA". It matches the Rfam family "Bacterial small subunit ribosomal RNA", at positions 28 to 507 of the family's 1533-position model. The record is from RNAcentral.
GACGAACGCUGGCGGCGUGCUUAACACAUGCAAGUCGAACGGAAAGGCCUCUUUCGGGGGGUACUCGAGUGGCGAACGGGUGAGUAACGCGUGAGUAACCUGCCCUUGACUUUGGGAUAACUUCAGGAAACUGGGGCUAAUACCGGAUAGGAGCUCCUGCUGCAUGGUGGGGGUUGGAAAGUUUCGGCGGUUGGGGAUGGACUCGCGGCUUAUCAGCUUGUUGGUGGGGUAGUGGCUUACCAAGGCUUUGACGGGUAGCCGGCCUGAGAGGGUGACCGGCCACAUUGGGACUGAGAUACGGCCCAGACUCCUACGGGAGGCAGCAGUGGGGAAGAUUGCACAAUGGGUGGAAGCCUGAUGCAGCAACGCCGUGUGCGGGAUGACGGCCUUCGGGUUGUAAACCGCUUUCGCUCAUGACGAAGCUUUGUGUGACGGUAGUGGGUAAAGAAGCACCGGCUAACUACGUG